Molecule: ribosomal RNA, 253 nt
Filed under: uncultured bacterium
Lineage: Bacteria
Description: partial 16S ribosomal RNA
Rfam family: Bacterial small subunit ribosomal RNA
Source: RNAcentral
UACAGAGGGUGCAAGCGUUGUUCGGAAUUAUUGGGCGUAAAGAGCUCGUAGGUGGUUUGUCGCGUUGUUCGUGAAAACCGGGGGCUUAACCCUCGGCGUGCGGGCGAUACGGGCAGGCUCGAGUUCGGUAGGGGAGACUGGAAUUCCUGGUGUAGCGGUGAAAUGCGCAGAGAUCCGGAGGAACACCAAAGGCGAAGGCAGUGUCCUGGGAAGUACCUGACGCUCAGGUGCGAAAGCCAGGGGAGCGAACGGG